GUUCUUCAACCACCACGUUAUCGGUCUCAUUCCAAACCACAAAAACUACCGUCACUAUAUGUCUGACAUGAUCUUCCGUGUUGGCUGCUGUCAACAUUCAAGAUCAUGGACGUCGCGGCAAGAUCAGCGAGGAAGAUCUCAAAACUUCAUACACAGAUGCCGAUGAUGAUGUAAUCGGUUCGAUGUUGCCGGUAACCGCAACGUGUUGGAGGAUGUGUUUAAGGCGAUGGAUGGAGACGGUGACGGAAGGGUAGAGUUUGGAGAUCUUAUGAGUUAUCUUGGUCUGCUGUAUUAGAGGGCAAGAAUCAGGCUAGGUGGAGAUGGUGAUAAUGGCGGCUUAUGUUAUAUGUUUUUUUUAAGAUACUUGCAGUUUGAUUGUUGAAAUGUUUAGACGGUUUGUAACUGUCGGAGUGAAGUAUAGGCGCCAGAUUACCGUCGCUUCUUGAAAGUGUCAGAGAGUGAAGUAUGUGUCGCUUAGAUUACUGUAGCGUUUUUAUAUGAAACGAGAUUUCCAUAUUGAAAUCUUGCAUAGCGGAGGAGAAUGGAGAGAAGUCGAGGAAGACAACUUCGACAAAGCGACACAACACCUACAAUAACAAGUCGUUAGUGGAUCAAUAUUAAUCUUCUAUUGAUAAAAUAAAAGGAAUUUGUGUGGAUCAAUAUUAAUCGUUCAUUGAAAAAUGAAACGGAAUUUUGGAAUUAAGGUUGGAUAAAAACCCUGUUGGAUGAUGACGGUCGUCAUUAUACAACUAUUCGGUCGAUAUUAGCGUUAAUCCUUAGUAGCAAGUGAAUUCUUAUCAUUUUGUUUGAUUUACGUUUUAUGGUUUCUACGUUAAAUUUGAUUCCGAAGAUUGGAUGUUAAUGUGUUCCUUUAUUGAAUAUAGUUGGUUUUGUGAAGAAAGUGGCCUAGAUAUGAAUUGCAAAAAUUGUUAG
RNAcentral lists this long non-coding RNA (933 nucleotides) under Helianthus annuus (common sunflower). RNAcentral describes it as "hypothetical non coding rna". The record is from RNAcentral. Lineage: Eukaryota; Viridiplantae; Streptophyta; Magnoliopsida; Asterales; Asteraceae.